UGGACAGAGGGUAGGUUUAGCACAUCAAACUCAUAAAAACCAUAGAGAAUUUAUAUAGCUCAUAAUAUAGAAAAUAUGAAUUUUCUGUGUUGCACAAGCAAACCUAAACAAAAGAAAAGAGAGAAAAGAGUGGAGAUUUCCAAUGUAGACUCUUCUGAUUCAGAGUCAAGUGUAGGAUGGAGAGAAUUCUCGUAUUUCAGAAUGGAGCUAGUGAUCCCGAAUGCUGGCAAAGAACAAGAUUUCAGAGGUUUUUUUACUAGAAAAAAUAUGGAAGAACUCAAGAUUACUAAGAAAGGCAAAGUAUUGAUAGUGGAAGGCAAAAGUGACGAAGAUGUUGAAUCAGAGUUUGCAGAUACAUUUGGGGGUGACUUCAUCCAGAGACAAAAUAGAUCUAAAAGUGCAGAGAUGAGAAGAAUAACUUUUGAAUAAGAUAUUAGUUAUCAUUAUAAGAGCAAUAAUUAAUUUUAAAUAGAAUAAGC
This 479-nucleotide long non-coding RNA is filed under the name Lupinus mutabilis. Its description in RNAcentral is "partial ncRNA". The record is from RNAcentral. Lineage: Eukaryota; Viridiplantae; Streptophyta; Magnoliopsida; Fabales; Fabaceae.